CCUACGGGCGGCAGCAGUGAGGAAUAUUGGUCAAUGGGCGCGAGCCUGAACCAGCCAAGUCGCGUGAGGGAGGACGGCCCUACGGGUUGUAAACCUCUUUUGCCGGGGAGCAACGGGCGUCACGUGUGGCGCCACUGAGAGUACCCGGAGAAAAAGCAUCGGCUAACUCCGUGCCAGCAGCCGCGGUAAUACGGAGGAUGCGAGCGUUAUCCGGUUUUAUUGGGUUUAAGGGGUGCGUAGGCGGAUCGUUAAGUCAGUGGGAAAAUUGCGGGGCUCAACCCCUUCCCGCCAUUGAAACUGGCGCUCUUGAGUGGAAGAGAAGUAUGCGGAAUGCGUGGUGUAGCGGUGAAAUGCAUAGAUAUCACGCAGAACCCCGAUUGCGAAGGCAGCAUGCCGGCUUCCGACUGACGCUGAAGCACGAAAGCGUGGGGAUCGAACAGGAUUAGAUACCCGGGUAGUC
This 460-nucleotide ribosomal RNA is filed under the name uncultured bacterium. RNAcentral's name for it is "partial 16S ribosomal RNA". It matches the Rfam family "Bacterial small subunit ribosomal RNA", at positions 338 to 795 of the family's 1533-position model. The record is from RNAcentral.